This 255-nucleotide ribosomal RNA is filed under the name uncultured bacterium. RNAcentral's name for it is "partial 16S ribosomal RNA". It matches the Rfam family "Bacterial small subunit ribosomal RNA", at positions 524 to 776 of the family's 1533-position model. The record is from RNAcentral.
UACGGAGGGUGCAAGCGUUAUCCGGAUUCACUGGGUUUAAAGGGAGCGUAGGAGGGCAGGUAAGUCAGUGGUGAAAUCUUCGAGCUUAACUCGGAAACUGCCGUUGAUACUAUCUGUCUUGAAUACCGUGGAGAUGAGCGGAAUAUGUCAUGUAGCGGAUGAAAUGCUUAGAUAUGACAUAGAACACCAAUUGCGAAGGCAGCUCGUUACACGAAUAUUGACUCUGAGGCUCGAAAAGCGUGGGGAUCAAACAGG